GGCGGCAUGCUUACCAUGCAAGUCGAAGGCAGCACGGGACAAUCCUGGUGGCAACUGGCAAACGGGUAAGUAAUAUAUCGGAACGUGCCCAGUCGUGGGGGAUACCGUACCAAAACCUACGCUAUUACCGCAUACAAUCUAUGGAUAAAAGCGGGGGAUCGCAAGACCUCGCGCGAUUGGAGCGGCCGAUAUCAGAUUAGCUAGUUGGUGAGGUAAAGGCUCACCAAGCCGACGAUCUGUAGCUGGUCUGAGAGGACGACCAGCCACACUGGGACUGAGACACGGCCCAGACUCCUACGGGAGGCAGCAGUGGGGAAUUUUGGACAAUGGGGGCAACCCUGAUCCAGCAAUGCCGCGU
Molecule: ribosomal RNA, 358 nt
Filed under: uncultured Aquaspirillum BIWA913
Lineage: Bacteria; Pseudomonadati; Pseudomonadota; Betaproteobacteria; Neisseriales; Aquaspirillaceae
Description: bacterial SSU rRNA
Rfam family: Bacterial small subunit ribosomal RNA
Source: RNAcentral